This 347-nucleotide unclassified non-coding RNA is filed under the name soil metagenome. RNAcentral describes it as "partial contains 5.8S ribosomal RNA, internal transcribed spacer 2, and large subunit ribosomal RNA". The stretch from base 1 to 120 matches the Rfam family "5.8S ribosomal RNA", at positions 35 to 154 of the family's 154-position model. The record is from RNAcentral.
GAUGAAGAACGUAGCGAAAUGCGAAAAGUAAUGUGAAUUGCAGAAUUCAGUGAACCAUCGAAUCUUUGAACGCACAUUGCGCCCGCUGGAACUCCGGCGGGCACGCCUGUCCGAGCGUCAUUUCAACCCUCAGGCCCCCCUUCGCGGGCGGGCCUGGUGUUGGGGCCCGGCCGCUACCCUGCGGCCGUCCCCUAAAUCCAGUGGCGGCCUCGCCGUGAUCCCUUGCGUAGUAAUGCACCUCGCACCGGAGAGCGCCGUGGCCACGCCGUAAAACCCCCAAUUUUCAAUGGUUGACCUCGGAUCAGGUGGGAAUACCCGCUGAACUUAAGCAUAUCAAUAAGCGGAGA